This 391-nucleotide unclassified non-coding RNA is filed under the name Hevea brasiliensis (rubber tree). The record is from RNAcentral. Lineage: Eukaryota; Viridiplantae; Streptophyta; Magnoliopsida; Malpighiales; Euphorbiaceae.
GGAAUAUGGGUCAACAAAGUGCAGUAUGAAAGUUACAAAAAUGAUGGAAUCGUUGUUGGGGAUUCAAUUUCGUUGAAUCUCAAAGCAGCAAUUGCACUCGAGUUGGAUAUCGAUGUAUGAAGAAAAAAUAUUGAAAUUUGUUAAAUCGUAGAAGGUAACUGGUGUCCAAUGAAGAUUAAGAAUGAUAUGGGUGUUAAACUAUAUCCAGAAGUGGAAAAAAAUGAGCCAGGAUUUGGAAUGUAUCCAUUAUGCGUUGACACAAUUGAAAAGAUUGGAGGUACUGUACAUAACUUUGAUGGAACAUGUGGAGAAAUUACACGUGUAGAAGGCACAACAUAGGAUACACAAGCUCUGACGAUGGUUGAAUCCAGAAUGUGAUUCGUAUGAUAAU